RNAcentral lists this ribosomal RNA (846 nucleotides) under uncultured archaeon. Its description in RNAcentral is "bacterial SSU rRNA". It matches the Rfam family "Archaeal small subunit ribosomal RNA", at positions 45 to 876 of the family's 1478-position model. The record is from RNAcentral.
UAAGUCACGCUAUUCAGAGGUACAGAAAUGGAGUACCUGGCGCNCGGCUCAGUAACACGUAAUGAAUCUACCCUAAGGACGAGGACAACCACGGGAAACUGUGGCUAAUCCUCGAUAGGAAAUUUGGCCUGGAACGGUAUCUUUCCCAAAACCGGCUCGCCGUGAGACACGGGCCUUAGGAUGGCGUUGCGGCCGAUUAUGCUAGACGGCGGUGUAAAGGACCACCGUGGCUACGAUCGGUAUGGGCGAUGGAAGUCGGAGCCCAGAGUCGGCUACUGAGACAAGGAGCCGAGCCUUACGAGGCUUAGCGGUCGCGAAAACUCGCCAAUGCACGAAAGUGUGAGUGGGCUACUCCAAGUGUCAUUCUUACGGAUGACUGUCGCUCAGUUUUACAAGCUGAGAAAGGAAGGAGAGGGCAAGGCUGGUGCCAGCCGCCGCGGUAAAACCAGCUCUUCGAGUGGUCAGGACGAAUAUUGGGUCUAAAGCGUUCGUAGCGGGACAUGUAGGUUCCUGGUUAAAUCCGAUGUCACAAGCAUCGGGCUGCUGGGAAUACCGCAAGUCUUGAGAGCGGGAUAGGACAGGGGGUAGUAUAUGGGCAGGGGUGAAAUCCAGUGAUCCAUAUGCGACCACCGAUGGCGAAGGCACCUGUCUGGAACGUAUCUAACCGUGAUGGACGAAAGCCAGGGGAGCGACCCGGAUUAGAUACCCGGUUAGUCCUGGCCGUAAACGAUGCCGACUAGGUGUUGCAGCGGCCNAGAGCCCUGCAGUGCCCCAGUGAANACGUUAAGUCGGNCCCCUGGGGGAGUACGAUCGCAAGAUUGAAACUUAAAGGAAUUGACGGGGGCC